This 3150-nucleotide ribosomal RNA is filed under the name Triticum aestivum (bread wheat). Its description in RNAcentral is "partial small subunit ribosomal RNA". The record is from RNAcentral. Lineage: Eukaryota; Viridiplantae; Streptophyta; Magnoliopsida; Poales; Poaceae.
AUGGUCUCCGCCGAGUACUCCAUCGACCUCAAGCUCUCCGAGCUCCUCAAGCAAGCGCGGCCGAGCGCUACCUCUCUCCGCGCCGCCGGGGAGGCCACGGACGCCGUCGGGGAGCUCAUCAAGAGCGUGCCGCCGCAGCAGGCUGCGCCGGAGGCUGCCUCGGGGUUCGUGAGGGACCUGGGCCUCGCGGCCGAGAAGCUAGCGUUUUCCUUCCGGCCGCCGGAGGUGGUGCGGCUCGCCGGGAGCCACGCGGCCGGCGCGGUCACCAGACCCGACGUCGCCGCUGACCUUCUCGUCCGCUUGCCUAAGGAAUGCUUUCAUGAAAAGGAUUUCCUGAAUCACCGGUACCAUGCAAAGAGGUGUCUUUACCUCUGCGUCAUCGAGAAGAGCUUGAGGUCUUCUCCUUUAAUCCGUAAGGUUUCAUGGUCUACCUUCCAAGAUGAGGCACGAAAGCCUGUCCUCCAUGUAUAUCCAGCAACAGAAAUUGCAGAACUUCCUGGGUUCUAUGUCAGGAUUAUCCCGACGGCAAGCUCUUUAUUUGAUCUUUCAAAGCUAAAUCUGUCAACAAGAAACAAUGUCCGUGCAUAUACAAAAGAUGGCAUAAACCAACCGACACCUAGGUAUAAUAACAGCAUAUUGGAGGAUAUGUUUCUGGAGGAAAAUGCAGAAUAUACCGGCAGCACCUUUGCAAAUUGGAAAACCUUGCAAGAGGCAUUGGUUUUACUAAAAGUUUGGGCACGUCAAAGAACUUCAAUAUAUUCACAUGAUUGCCUCAAUGGAUACUUAAUAUCUGCCAUCCUUGUGUUUCUUACCUUGGACUCUGGAGGAAGUAUAAUUAAUAGAUCAAUGACCACAAGACAAAUUUUCCGUGUUGCAAUCAAUUUUUUUGCAACUUCGAAGAUGUGGUCGAAGGGCUUGGUGAUUCAGCCAAUGAAGAAGCGUACUAUCAGCAAAGAGGGCAUUGCUCAUCUGCUGAAAACAUUUGAUGUUGCCAUAUGUGAUGUAUCUGGCCAUGUCAAUCUGGCAUUUCGGAUGACGAAGUCAGCCUUUUCAGAGCUCCAAGAUGAGGCAGCUUGCACACUUAAUUGCCUUGAUAAAUGCAGAGAUGGUGGAUUUGAAGAACUUUUUAUGACCAAAGUUGAUUUUGGUGCUAAGUUUGAUUCAUGUUUGAGGAUUAACUUGAAGGGGAACUCUAAAGUUACUGCAUUAAGCUUCUGCUCGGAUGAUGAAUCAUGGCGAGUACUUGAAAAAGAUGUUCAGUCCUUGCUGCAACAAGGACUUACAGAUAGAACAAAGAUGAUCCGCGUUCUGUGGAGAAGCACACCUUCUGAAUGGAAUAUAAUGGAUGGCUUCUCAGAGUUUGGUAGCAGCCCACUGAUUGUUGGUGUAAUGCUUAGCUUGUUGGAGAAGAGUUAUAGUCUUGUCGAUAUUGGUCCAAAUCCUGAAAAUCGUGAUGAGGCUAUUAAAUUUAGGAAAUUCUGGGGAGAGAAAGCUGAACUUAGGAGAUUUAAAGAUGGGGCUAUUGCUGAAAGCACAGUGUGGGAAACGGAGACUUGGGAGAGGCAUACAAUCAUCAAAAGAAUUGCUGAUUAUGUGCUUACCAAGCAUUUGCUGUUGCGGCAGGAAGAUCUCACUCAUGUUGUUGAUCAGCUUGACUUUUGUCUCUUGGUUGGUGGCCAAGAUCCAGUGUCAUCUUCUGGAGCUUUGCUUGAAGCCUUUGAUACUUUAGCUAAGCAGUUGCGUCUAUUGGAUGAUGUUCCUCUUAAAAUAUCUACUGUGCAACCUCUAGACUCAGCCUUUAGGCACACUUCUGUGUUCCCCCCUGAACCUCAUCCGUUGGCAUAUGAAAAGAGUUCUCAGAGGCUGCCCAAUUUUGCAGCAACUUGUGUUCGGUCUUUGGAAGUCAUGAUUCAGCUAGAGGGAUCUGGUAACUGGCCCUUGGAUCCUGUAGCCAUGGAGAAGACAAAGUCUGCAUUUCUUUUAAGAAUUGGUGAAAGUCUGGAGGAUCGAGGAAUGUUUGUUACAGCCAGUGAAGACGAGGUCAAUGUUCUUACAUCUGGAUAUUCAUUUUUGCUCAAAAUAUUUCAUGAGAGAGGUUUGGUGGUACAAAAGCAAGCUGGAGACAGUAACAUACAAAGUGCUCCAUCAGAAGAUAAGGAGCUCUUUUUUCGUAGUCAGCACUCAAGUAUGAUCAAUGGUCUGCAUGGUAUUUACCAAGCGUAUGGGCCGGUAGUGAGGCUAGCAAAAAGGUGGAUUUCCGCACAUCUAUUCUCUUCAUUUAUCUCAGAGGAGGCGGUUGAAUUGGUGGCUGCCUACCUAUUUUUGAGGCCGUUUCCAUUCCAUGCCCCCUCUUCACGGGUUACUGGGUUCCUUAGGUUCUUGCGGUUGCUAUCUAGUUUUGACUGGACCUUUUCACCCAUGAUUGUGGACAUAAAUAAUGACUUCAACCUGAAGGAUGAGAAAGAAAUCAAUGAAAACUUUAUGCUGAGCAGAAGAUCUUAUGAACAAAAUCCUCAUGAUAUAGAGCCUGCAAUGUUUCUGGCUACGUCAUAUGAUAAAUCAUCUGAAGCGUGGACAAAACAAUCACCAAGCAAGUCGGUUCUUAAACGGAUAGCUUCUUACGCUAAAAGCAGCGCCGAGCUGUUAACAAAUCUUAUCAUCCAUGGUCAAUCAGGCCAAUAUACAUGGGAGUGCCUCUACCGAACACCUUUAAGCAAUUAUGACGCUGUUAUACUCCUCCAUAAAGAGAAGCUUUGCCGUCCUCACCAUGUUCUUUUUCCUGCUGAGAUUCCUAACGGUAAGUUAGUAAUCCAGGGCAAACCAAGCAAUGAUUUCCACCCUUAUAUGCCACUCAGUAAAAGUGUUGUGAGAAGCUUGCAUGACACAAGAGAUAAACUUUUGGUGAAUUUUGACCCUACCGCCUACUUCUUGCGAGACUUGAAGUGUGCAUUCCCUGUGACCUUCAAAUUGUGGCACGAUUCGAUUGGAGGGGACGCAAUUGGUCUUACAUGGGAGAGCUCAAAGAAGCGUGGCAGAGAUGAGGAUGAUGAAGCCAUGCUGGAUCCAACGUCUAUACUCAAGGAGGUUGGAGAUGUGGGUAAAGGGUUGGUGAGGAGUGUACAUCUUCUCAAAGCACCAAAGCUUGAGUAA